AUUGAACGCUGGCGGCAUGCUUUACACAUGCAAGUCGAACGGCAGCACGGGUGCUUGCACCUGGUGGCGAGUGGCGAACGGGUGAGUAAUGCAUCGGAACGUGCCCAUGAGUGGGGGAUAGCCCGGCGAAAGCCGGAUUAAUACCGCAUACGCCCUUAGGGGGAAAGCGGGGGAUCUUCGGACCUCGCGCGUAUUGGAGCGGCCGAUGUCCGGAUUAGCUAGUAGGUGAGGUAAAGGCUCACCUAGGCGACGAUCCGUAGCUGGUCUGAGAGGAUGAUCAGCCACACUGGGACUGAGACACGGCCCAGACUCCUACGGGAGGCAGCAGUGGGGAAUUUUGGACAAUGGGCGCAAGCCUGAUCCAGCCAUGCCGCGUGAGUGAAGAAGGCCUCGGUUGUAAGUACGUC
Molecule: ribosomal RNA, 407 nt
Filed under: uncultured bacterium
Lineage: Bacteria
Description: bacterial SSU rRNA
Rfam family: Bacterial small subunit ribosomal RNA
Source: RNAcentral